GUCUAUGGCCAUACCACCCUGAACAUGCCCAAUCUCAUCUGAUCUCAGAAGCUAAGAAGGGUCAGGCCUGGUUAGUACUUGGAUGGGAAACCACCUUGGAAUACCGGGUUUUGUAGGCU
This 119-nucleotide ribosomal RNA is filed under the name Saimiri boliviensis boliviensis (Bolivian squirrel monkey). Lineage: Eukaryota; Metazoa; Chordata; Mammalia; Primates; Cebidae. The record is from RNAcentral.